Molecule: long non-coding RNA, 308 nt
Filed under: Gossypium barbadense (sea-island cotton)
Lineage: Eukaryota; Viridiplantae; Streptophyta; Magnoliopsida; Malvales; Malvaceae
Description: long non-coding RNA (GBAR_LNC009919)
Source: RNAcentral
UGAGGUGCGGAAUACUGCGAAUCGCCUAUUCGUCGCUGCCAUUAGAGUGAAGUUGUCCUGCAUAAAACACAACCUCCACUCGAUCAAAAAAUAGACGAUGUCAGUGAAUGAAUAUGUUACGAAAAUACAAAACACCUACGCUUUGCUCGAGGCAUCUGGAUUUGCGGUACCAAAGACAGAGAAGGUGGAAAUCAUUCUUGUCGGCCUCUCAUUGGACUACGAUACCAUUCUCACAUUAGCCUCAUUCUCGAUUGAACCGCUUCCUCUUUAAAAGCUCAUCCAUGUGCUCCUCAAUUUUGAGAAUAGAC